GGAUCUCUUGGCUCUCGCAUCGAUGAAGAACGUAGCGAAGUGUGAUAAGUAAUGUGAAUUGCAGAAUUCCGUGAAUCAUCGAAUCUUUGAACGCAAAUUGCACUCUCUUUGGAGAGUAUGCCUGUUUGAGGGUCAGUAUUAAUAAAAAUCGGCGUGUU
Molecule: ribosomal RNA, 158 nt
Filed under: Glomus sp. MUCL 46239
Lineage: Eukaryota; Fungi; Glomeromycota; Glomeromycetes; Glomerales; Glomeraceae
Description: 5.8S ribosomal RNA
Rfam family: 5.8S ribosomal RNA (bases 1-135)
About the family: 5.8S ribosomal RNA (5.8S rRNA) is a component of the large subunit of the eukaryotic ribosome. It is transcribed by RNA polymerase I as part of the 45S precursor that also contains 18S and 28S rRNA.
Source: RNAcentral